RNAcentral lists this ribosomal RNA (465 nucleotides) under uncultured bacterium. RNAcentral's name for it is "partial 16S ribosomal RNA". It matches the Rfam family "Bacterial small subunit ribosomal RNA", at positions 28 to 507 of the family's 1533-position model. The record is from RNAcentral.
GAUGAACGCUGGCGGCGUGCUUAACACAUGCCAGUCGAACGGAAAGGCUCCUGCUUGCAGGGGUACUCGAGUGGCGAACGGGUGAGUAACACGUGGGUGAUCUGCCCUGCACUUCGGGAUAAGCCUGGGAAACUGGGUCUAAUACCGGAUAGGACGAUGGUUUGGAUGCCAUUGUGGAAAGUUUUUCGGUGUGGGAUGAGCUCGCGGCCUAUCAGCUUGUUGGUGGGGUAAUGGCCUACCAAGGCGUCGACGGGUAGCCGGCCUGAGAGGGUGUACGGCCACAUUGGGACUGAGAUACGGACCAGACUCCUACGGGAGGCAGCAGUGGGGAAUAUUGCACAAUGGGCGCAAGCCUGAUGCAGCGACGCCGCGUGGGGGAUGACGGCCUUCGGGUUGUAAACUCCUUUCGCUAGGGACGAAGCGCAAGUGACGGUACCUGGAGAAGAAGCACCGGCUAACUACGUG